UACGGAGGGCGCAAGCGUUGCUCGGAAUCACUGGGCGUAAAGAGCGUGUAGGCGGUUUCGUAUGUCUGGCGUGAAAGCCCCGGGCUCACCCCGGGAAGUGUGCUGGAAACUGCGAGACUAGAGUCCCGGAGAGGAAGGUGGAAUUCCAGGUGUAGCGGUGAAAUGCGUAGAUAUUUGGAAGAACACCGGUGGCGAAGGCGGCCUUCUGGACGGUGACUGACGCUGAGACGCGAAAGCGUGGGGAGCAAACAGG
This 253-nucleotide ribosomal RNA is filed under the name uncultured bacterium. RNAcentral describes it as "partial 16S ribosomal RNA". It matches the Rfam family "Bacterial small subunit ribosomal RNA", at positions 524 to 776 of the family's 1533-position model. The record is from RNAcentral.